CAGUCGCCACGGGAAUACGAAGGGUGCAAGCGUUACUCGGAAUUACUGGGCGUAAAGCGUGCGUAGGUGGUGGUUUAAGUCCGUUGUGAAAGCCCUGGGCUCAACCUGGGAAUUGCAGUGGAUACUGGGUCACUAGAGUGUGGUAGAGGAUAGUGGAAUUUCCGGUGUAGCAGUGAAAUGCGUAGAGAUCGGAAGGAACAUCUGUGGCGAAGGCGACUAUCUGGGCCAACACUGACACUGAGGCACGAAAGCGUGGGGAGCAAACAGGAUUAGAUACCCCUGUGUCCCUGUCUCUUAUACA
RNAcentral lists this ribosomal RNA (301 nucleotides) under uncultured bacterium. Its description in RNAcentral is "partial 16S ribosomal RNA". It matches the Rfam family "Bacterial small subunit ribosomal RNA", at positions 509 to 808 of the family's 1533-position model. The record is from RNAcentral.